UCGAGGAUCUUCGGCAAUGGGCGCAAGCCUGACCGAGCGACGCCGCGUGUGGGAUGAAGGCCCUUGGGUUGUAAACCACUGUCAGGGGGGACGAAAUGCGCGCGGGUACUCCCGUGCGUUUGACAGAGCCCCAGAGGAAGCACGGGCUAAGUUCGUGCCAGCAGCCGCGGUAAUACGAACUGUGCAAACGUUAUUCGGAAUCACUGGGCUUAAAGGGUGCGUAGGCGGCUUAUUAAGCAGGGUGUGAAAGCCCCCGGCUCAACCGGGGAAUAGCGCUCUGAACUGAUGAGCUGGAGCGAGGCAGGGGUGCGCGGAACUUCCAGUGGAGCGGUGAAAUGUGUUGAUAUUGGAAGGAACACCGGAGGCGAAAGCGGCGCACUGGGUCUUGUCUGACGCUGAGGCACGAAAGCCAGGGGAGCAAACGGG
RNAcentral lists this ribosomal RNA (426 nucleotides) under uncultured bacterium. RNAcentral's name for it is "bacterial SSU rRNA". It matches the Rfam family "Bacterial small subunit ribosomal RNA", at positions 355 to 776 of the family's 1533-position model. The record is from RNAcentral.